Molecule: ribosomal RNA, 253 nt
Filed under: uncultured bacterium
Lineage: Bacteria
Description: partial 16S ribosomal RNA
Rfam family: Bacterial small subunit ribosomal RNA
Source: RNAcentral
UACAGAGGUCUCAAGCGUUGUUCGGAUUCAUUGGGCGUAAAGGGUGCGUAGGCGGCGCGGUAAGUCGGGUGUGAAAUCUCGGAGCUUAACUCCGAAACUGCAUUCGAUACUGCCGUGCUUGAGGACUGGAGAGGAGACUGGAAUUUACGGUGUAGCGGUGAAAUGCGUAGAUAUCGUAAGGAAGACCAGUGGCGAAGGCGGGUCUCUGGACAGUUCCUGACGCUCAUGCACGAAAGCUAGGGUAGCGAACGGG